This 514-nucleotide ribosomal RNA is filed under the name Peptococcus sp. canine oral taxon 344. Its description in RNAcentral is "bacterial SSU rRNA". It matches the Rfam family "Bacterial small subunit ribosomal RNA", at positions 9 to 489 of the family's 1533-position model. The record is from RNAcentral. Lineage: Bacteria; Bacillati; Bacillota; Clostridia; Eubacteriales; Peptococcaceae.
GAGUUUGAUUAUGGCUCAGGACAAACGCUGGCGGCAUGCCUAACACAUGCAAGCCGAACGGACAAGUUAGUGGAAGUUCUUCGGAAUGGAAACUAAUGCGUUAGUGGCGGAUGGGUGAGUAACGCGUGGAUAACCUACCUUUAAAUGGGGAAUAACUACGAGAAAUCGUAGCUAAUACCGCAUAAUAUCUCUAGUUUGCAUGAACUGGAGAAGAAAGGCGGCCUUCGUGCUGUCGUUUAGAGAUGGAUCCGCGUCUGAUUAGCUAGUUGGUGAGGUAGAGGCUUACCAAGGCGACGAUCAGUAGCCGGCCUGAGAGGGUGAACGGCCACAUUGGGACUGAGACACGGCCCAAACUCCUACGGGAGGCAGCAGUGGGGAAUCUUCCGCAAUGGGCGAAAGCCUGACGGAGCAAUGCCGCGUGAGUGAAGAAGGCCUUCGGGUUGUAAAACUCUGUCCUUAUCGAAGAGAGAGAAAGGUAGUAACUGACAUUUCUAGGACGGUAGAUNGGAGAGCC